UAUGAAGGUCAGGCUGAAGACCUUACCCGAUUAGCUGAGAGGUGGUGCAUGGCCGUCGUCAGUUCGUACUGUGAAGCAUCCUGUUAAGUCAGGCAACGAGCGAGACCCACGUCCACAGUUGCCAGCAUACCCUCCGGGGUGAUGGGUACACUGUGGAGACCGCCGCUGCUAAAGCGGAGGAAGGAGUGGGCAACGGUAGGUCAGUAUGCCCCGAAUCUCCCGGGCUACGCGCGGGCUACAAUGGUUGGUACAAUGGGCAUCUACCCCGAAAGGGGAAGGAAAUCUCUUAAAGCCAAUCGUAGUUCGGAUUGAGGGCUGCAACUCGCCCUCAUGAAGCUGGAAUCCGUAGUAAUCGCGUUUCAACAGAACGCGGUGAAUACGUCCCUGCUCCUU
RNAcentral lists this ribosomal RNA (393 nucleotides) under uncultured Methanosaeta sp. Its description in RNAcentral is "bacterial SSU rRNA". It matches the Rfam family "Archaeal small subunit ribosomal RNA", at positions 946 to 1338 of the family's 1478-position model. Lineage: Archaea; Methanobacteriati; Methanobacteriota; Methanomicrobia; Methanotrichales; Methanotrichaceae. The record is from RNAcentral.